CGUUUUUCUCUUUUAUAAAGGAAAAACUAUUUCUUCAAUUCAUUUUCUUCUUCUUCCCAACUGUAAAUCUUCAUCGAGAAGAACGAUUAUUUGAUGGAGUUACUGCUAUGAAGAUUUGAAAUCUCCACUUUACUCAUUUUCAUUUUCAUUUCUUUUCUAUUCCAGACACAAUCUAUGUGUCCUUUCUUCAUCUUCAUCUUCUCCGUCUCCAUCUUCAUCUUCUUUUCUCUGUAAAUUUCUAGAUCUGAAAAUGAUUUUGGUUCGAUUACGUCCUGAUACAUAUGCUGGUUCGAUUGAGAAACAUACACAGAGUCUGUGGGUUUAUGAAGGAUCUGAGAUGGUUUACAUACCGAUGAGUCACGUGCCGGGAUUGUAUAAGAUUUUCGAUGAGAUCUUAGUGAACGUUGCUGAUAAUAAAUAAAGAGAUCCGAAGAUGGGUGAGGUGAGGGUUGAUAUUGAUGUUGAAGGGAAUACUAUUAGUGUAUAUAAUGACCUACCAUUCUUAGGUGAAACUUGGGAUUCAACUAAGAAACUAUGGAAACUUGGUAUUAGUUUUUGGUACAAAAACUUGGGAUUCAACUUUCUUUGAAUGGGAGAAGGUAAAGAAGCAUAGAAAGGGAGUUCGACAACCUACUACUACUGAUGAUACCACCUAUCUACUGCCAGCGAUUUUAUAUGAAUAUGGUCGGAAUUCAGCCGGAUUUGUUUACAUUAAGCAUUCUGAUUAACUGUUAUUGUAAGUUAGGUGAUGUUGAUUGUGGAUUUUGUGUGUUUGGUGAAAUGAUUAAGAGGGGUUAUAUGUGGAACUGUUAUAUGUGGGCUUUGUAGAAUUUGGGAAGUUGAUCUUGAUCUAGAGUUGCAUAGAAAUAUGGUGAAAUGGAAAUGCAGUCCUAAGUUGAUCACUUAUAAUUUGUUGAUACAUGGAUUUUGUAAUGUUGGCCGGGUAAGUGAAGCAAUGAGAGUCUUUGAUGAGAUGUUGAGUCGAGGAAUUUCAGCCGAUGUUGUCACUUAUACAUGUUUAAUUCAUGCUUUGUGUCAAUAUGGUUUUUUAAUGAAAACCAGAGAGUAUUUUGAACAAAUGGUGGGUAUAGGGAUAUCACCUGACAUAGUAACGUUCACUGUAUUAAUAUAUUCUUAUUGUAAAGCAGGGAGCCUACUGUAGUAACUUAUAAUUCGAUGAUUAAUGGGUACUGCAUGAAUGACA
Molecule: long non-coding RNA, 1204 nt
Organism: Papaver somniferum (opium poppy)
Lineage: Eukaryota; Viridiplantae; Streptophyta; Magnoliopsida; Ranunculales; Papaveraceae
Exons: 2
Source: RefSeq, a predicted model, not a curated record